This is a long non-coding RNA of Peromyscus eremicus (cactus mouse), 732 nucleotides long. RefSeq lists it as uncharacterized. NCBI's taxonomy places the organism in Eukaryota, Metazoa, Chordata, Mammalia, Rodentia, Cricetidae. The record is from RefSeq and is a predicted model, not a curated record. The transcript is spliced from 4 exons.
UCAGAGCAGGGAAGUCACAGCAAGAGAAGCUUGAGAGCUGAUCAUGUUACAGCCACAAUCAAGAACAGGGAACAAUAAAUUAAUGCAUGCAGGCUAAUGCUCACCUUGCCCUUUCCAAUUUGCACAGUCCAGAAUCUCCUGCUCAGGGAAUGGUCCUGCCCACAAUGGGCAGGUCUUCUUACCUCAAUUAGAUUCCUCACAGACAUCCUCAGAGGUUAACCUUCAGCUAGACGAUCCUCACAGACUGUGGAUGUAAUGUGAUCAGCUGCUUUGAGCGUCUGCUUUGACUUUCUCUGCAUCAUGGAUGAUUCUGCCGUGGAUCCUCCUUUGUGGAGCUGUGUUCAUAAUGCCUCUGCCAUCUUGGACAGAAAGAAAAGGAAGGACAUACUGAAUACCCCUGUAGACAACAGUGCACACUGCUGAGGCGAUGCCUCCUAGAGUUGGGUCAGAACGCCAUGGUGGGAGGACGCGCUACAGAAGAAAGAAAACGUAUCUUCAGAGCGGCAAUCAGAAUUUGGAAGCACAAAUGGCCAUGAUUUCUAUGGCCAUGAUUCUAGAAAACCCCAGGCUAUAAAAUCUGUGCCCCAGAGCAGUGACCUGACCCAUGUCUAGGAGAGCUGAGCCAGGGCACCAUCUACUAAACCUACCAUUUAAAUUUGCUUAAAAGAAUUUUCAAACUUAAAAAACCACAGUCCAUAACCCAUCCUUUGGUAUGUCAGGAACUAUAUGAGU